UAAGGGGGUGACUGCGGAAGGAUCAUUAAAGAAAUUUAAUAAUUUUGAAAAUGGAUUUUUUUGUUUUGGCAAGAGCAUGAGAGCUUUUACUGGGCAAGAAGACAAGAGAUGGAGAGUCCAGCCGGGCCUGCGCUUAAGUGCGCGGUCUUGCUAGGCUUGUAAGUUUCUUUCUUGCUAUUCCAAACGGUGAGAGAUUUCUGUGCUUUUGUUAUAGGACAAUUAAAACCGUUUCAAUACAACACACUGUGGAGUUUUCAUAUCUUUGCAACUUUUUCUUUGGGCAUUCGAGCAAUCGGGGCCCAGAGGUAACAAACACAAACAAUUUUAUUUAUUCAUUAAAUUUUUGUCAAAAACAAGAAUUUUCGUAACUGGAAAUUUUAAAAUAUUAAAAACUUUCAACAACGGAUCUCUUGGUUCUCGCAUCGAUGAAGAACGCAGCGAAAUGCGAUACGUAAUGUGAAUUGCAGAAUUCCGUGAAUCAUCGAAUCUUUGAACGCACAUUGCGCCCCUUGGUAUUCCAGGGGGCAUGCCUGUUUGAGCGUCAUUUCCUUCUCAAACAUUCUGUUUGGUAGUGAGUGAUACUCUUUGGAGUUAACUUGAAAUUGCUGGCCUUUUCAUUGGAUGUUUUUUUUCCAAAGAGAGGUUUCUCUGCGUGCUUGAGGUAUAAUGCAAGUACGGUCGUUUUAGGUUUUACCAACUGCGGCUAAUCUUUUUUAUACUGAGCGUAUUGGAACGUUAUCGAUAAGAAGAGAGCGUCUAGGCGAACAAUGUUCUUAAAGUUUGACCUCAAAUCAGGUAGGAGUACCCGCUGAACUUAAGCAUAUCAUAAACCCGGAG
Molecule: ribosomal RNA, 837 nt
Filed under: Saccharomyces cerevisiae (brewer's yeast)
Lineage: Eukaryota; Fungi; Ascomycota; Saccharomycetes; Saccharomycetales; Saccharomycetaceae
Description: eukaryotic LSU rRNA
Rfam family: 5.8S ribosomal RNA (bases 391-544)
Source: RNAcentral